Molecule: ribosomal RNA, 341 nt
Filed under: uncultured Endozoicomonas sp.
Lineage: Bacteria; Pseudomonadati; Pseudomonadota; Gammaproteobacteria; Oceanospirillales; Endozoicomonadaceae
Description: bacterial SSU rRNA
Rfam family: Bacterial small subunit ribosomal RNA
Source: RNAcentral
UGAUCCUGGCUCAGAUUGAACGCUGGCGGCAGGCCUAACACAUGCAAGUCGAGCGGUAGCGGGAAGAGCUUGCUCUUUGCCGACGAGCGGCGGACGGGUGCGUAACACGUAGGAAUCUGCCCGGUAGUGGGGGAUAGCCCGGAGAAAUCCGGAUUAAUACCGCAUACGCCCUAAGGGGGAAAGCAGGGGAUCUUCGGACCUUGCGCUAUCGGAUGAGCCUGCGUCGGAUUAGCUUGUUGGUGGGGUAAAGGCCUACCAAGGCGACGAUCCGUAGCUGGUCUGAGAGGAUGAUCAGCCACACUGGGACUGAGACACGGCCCAGACUCCUACGGGAGGCAGCA